AACGAACGCUGGCGGCAGGCUUAACACAUGCAAGUCGAACGCACCUUUCGGGGUGAGUGGCCGACGGGUGAGUAACGCGUGGGAAUCUACCCUUCUCUACGGGAUAGCUCCGGGAAACUGGAAUUAAUACCGUAUACGUCCUGAGGGAGAAAGAUUUAUCGGGGAAGGAUGAGCCCGCGUUGGAUUAGCUAGUUGGUGGGGUAAAGGCCUACCAAGGCGACGAUCCAUAGCUGGUCUAAGAGGAUGAUCAGCCACAUUGGGACUGAGACACGGCCCAAACUCCUACGGGAGGCAGCAGUGGGGAAUAUUGGACAAUGGGCGCAAGCCUGAUCCAGCCAUGCCGCGUGAGAGAUGAAGGCCCUAGGGUUGUAAAGCUCUUUCAGUGGGGACGAUAAUGACGGUACCCACAGAAGAAGCCCCGGCUAACUUCGUG
This 433-nucleotide ribosomal RNA is filed under the name uncultured bacterium. RNAcentral describes it as "partial 16S ribosomal RNA". It matches the Rfam family "Bacterial small subunit ribosomal RNA", at positions 29 to 507 of the family's 1533-position model. The record is from RNAcentral.